This is a long non-coding RNA of Vidua chalybeata, 399 nucleotides long. RefSeq lists it as uncharacterized. The transcript is spliced from 2 exons. Lineage: Eukaryota; Metazoa; Chordata; Aves; Passeriformes; Viduidae. The record is from RefSeq and is a predicted model, not a curated record.
CCUUCUCCUCCACAAACACAUUACUACUCAUUUAUUACACAUCAAGUUUAUAUCUACCUGGAAAGCACCAGUUAGAAGCAAGGCAAUCUCCCAGGCUGUGACAAAGCAAGCUUUCCAUUAAUAAUUUGUAAUGCCACGAAGAAAAACAGGAGCACAGCAUUUUCAGAACUACUCAAGAUUCUCACCUGCCCAUGAAACCCAGUUUUGUAAACACAAGGACUGAUCCUAUGGGGAUACCAAAAAAAAAACUUCCUCCAGGAAAAAAUUAAGAAGCCACUAACCACAGGCUAUAUAAGUGCCAACUGCUGCAGCUGUACAACGAGACCUAUCACAGUCUGAAGCACUGUUUUUGCCUUUUUUUUUUUUUUUUAAUAAGCAAACACCUGAUAUAGAAGCUUC